Molecule: ribosomal RNA, 253 nt
Filed under: uncultured bacterium
Lineage: Bacteria
Description: partial 16S ribosomal RNA
Rfam family: Bacterial small subunit ribosomal RNA
Source: RNAcentral
UACAGAGGGGGCAAGCGUUGUUCGGAAUUACUGGGCGUAAAGGGCGCGUAGGCGGCCUGCUAAGUCGAACGUGAAAUCCCCGGGCUCAACCCGGGAACUGCGUCCGAUACUGGCAGGCUUGAAUCCGGGAGAGGGAUGCGGAAUUCCAGGUGUAGCGGUGAAAUGCGUAGAUAUCUGGAGGAACACCGGUGGCGAAGGCGGCAUCCUGGACCGGCAUUGACGCUGAGGAGCGAAAGCCAGGGGAGCAAACGGG